UACGUAGGUGGCAAGCGUUGUCCGGAAUUAUUGGGCGUAAAGCGCGCGCAGGCGGUCCUUUAAGUCUGAUGUGAAAGCCCACGGCUCAACCGUGGAGGGUCAUUGGAAACUGGAGGACUUGAGUGCAGGAGAGAAGAGUGGAAUUCCACGUGUAGCGGUGAAAUGCGUAGAGAUGUGGAGGAACACCAGUGGCGAAGGCGGCUCUCUGGGACGGUACUGACGCUGAGACGCGAAAGCGUGGGGAGCGAACAGG
RNAcentral lists this ribosomal RNA (253 nucleotides) under uncultured bacterium. RNAcentral describes it as "partial 16S ribosomal RNA". It matches the Rfam family "Bacterial small subunit ribosomal RNA", at positions 524 to 776 of the family's 1533-position model. The record is from RNAcentral.